AUUGAACGCUGGCGGCAGGCCUAACACAUGCAAGUCGAACGGUAACAGGAAGACGCUUGCUUCUUUGCUGACGAGUGGCGGACGGGUGAGUAAUGUCUGGGAAACUGCCUGAUGGAGGGGGAUAACUACUGGAAACGGUAGCUAAUACCGCAUAACGUCGCAAGACCAAAGAGGGGGACCUUCGGGCCUCUUGCCAUCGGAUGUGCCCAGAUGGGAUUAGCUAGUAGGUGGGGUACCGGCUCACCUAGGCGACGAUCCCUAGCUGGUCUGAGAGGAUGACCAGCCACACUGGAACUGAGACACGGUCCAGACUCCUACGGGAGGCAGCAGUGGGGAAUAUUGCACGAUGGGCGCAAGCCUGAUGCAGCCAUGCCGCGUGUAUGAAGAAGGCCUUCGGGUUGUAAAGUACUUUCAGCGGGGAGGAAGGGAGUAAAGUUAAUACCUUUGCUCAUUGACGUUACCCGCAGAAGAAGCACCGGCUAACUCCGUG
Molecule: ribosomal RNA, 490 nt
Filed under: uncultured bacterium
Lineage: Bacteria
Description: partial 16S ribosomal RNA
Rfam family: Bacterial small subunit ribosomal RNA
Source: RNAcentral